Molecule: small RNA, 746 nt
Filed under: Pan troglodytes (chimpanzee)
Lineage: Eukaryota; Metazoa; Chordata; Mammalia; Primates; Hominidae
Description: retained intron
Source: RNAcentral
UACUGUAGACUUUUAGUAUUGGUAAAAUUAAAAGUAUUAGUAAUUUUUCCAAUUUCAAAGCUUAAGUAUUCUUCCUAACAUUCAGAGACCUCACUUCGAAUGUCUUCUAAUUUUAUUAUAGUGUAUUUGGAUCUCUUAAAAUUUUGUUUUAUGUGCUUGAUCAUUGUGGUUUAAUGGCGAACUCAGCAUAAUUCUUUUGUCUUCAUUGCCAGGAGUCCAGUGUAUUCCACAACGAGCAGCACUUCUGAAAUCCAUGUUGAAUUUCCUCAAGAAGGCCAUCCAAGACCCUGCUUUCUCAGAUGGCAUACGACAUGUGAUGGAUGGUUCUCUGCCUACCUCCCUGAAACACAUCAUCAGCAAUGCAGAAUACUAUGGCCCAUCACUCUUCCUCCUAGCUACUGAAGUGGUGACUGUGUUUGUAUUUCAAGAACCAUCACUGCUCUCCUCACUCCAGGACAAUGGAUUGACAGAUGUCAUGCUGCAUGCACUGCUUAUCAAAGAUGUUCCUGCUACCCGUGAAGUCCUUGGCUCCCUCCCAAAUGUAUUCAGUGCACUCUGUUUGAAUGCCCGAGGUCUUCAGUCUUUUGUUCAGUGUCAGCCUUUUGAACGCCUCUUCAAAGUUCUUCUGUCUCCAGAUUACCUCCCAGCCAUGCGGAGGAGGAGAAGUUCUGAUCCCCUUGGGGAUACUGCAUCCAACCUGGGGAGUGCUGUCGAUGAGCUCAUGAGACAUCAGCCCACCCUUAAAA